Long non-coding RNA from Ipomoea triloba (trilobed morning glory), 2064 nucleotides. RefSeq lists it as uncharacterized. Lineage: Eukaryota; Viridiplantae; Streptophyta; Magnoliopsida; Solanales; Convolvulaceae. The transcript has 7 exons. The record is from RefSeq and is a predicted model, not a curated record.
GGUUGCAGAAUAUUUACUUUUACAUAUGCCUUACAAUAACAUGAAAUUUAAGUUCUUGUGAAUUACAGUGUAGUCUAUGCUGCCCACUCUUGGGUGUUUAUGCUGCUACAGUGAAUUACAUUGUAGUCAAUAUGGGACAAUAAUGUCCUUGUAUAGGCAGCAACCUAUAAUUGAAUGGUGAUUUUGGACUGGUUUCUACUUUUUAGAAUGAAUUAAUGCAUUGCAAAUGACAUAGUUGUAAUGUUUAUAGACAUUUGAAAAAAAUUAUUAGAAAGAUGACAAUCUUGGUUAGUUUUUGGAGUGGGCUGUUGCCUUUAGAUAAAGACAUCAACUUCAGUUUUGGUUGUACAGAGCACUAAUCUUUAUGAAGAAGGAAUGAGAUUACUUUUGACAAUUUUUUUUGUCUUUGAAGGAUGUGUGUUAGUGCUCCUUGUACUUAAGGAGAACCACUCAUUCUAGAAUGCACCAGGCCUUGAAAUUCCAUCAAGGGAAGGUAUUCUUUACUUCCUCUAUAAUUUCUACCCGAUAUAAUGCUUUGCUUGAGACAUUUUUGUUUAGAAACAGUGUUGAUUCUGAACUGUUUCUUGAUAUGCAACUUUAUGCUUCCAUACAUCUUUGAACCAAUGAAAUCUAGAGCAAGAAGAUUGACUAAAGCCAUGUAUAUCAGAAGGGCAGCAGAUGAUGCAUCCAGCAGCCCCACGGUAAUCAAUAGUUUACAGUAUAGUGACACUGCAAUAACAUAAAGCUGGAGGCUUAUCCUUUUUGACUGAAAGUGAUUUACUAAUUGUGUGUUAAGACUUGCAUUUUGGGACAAGCAGAAAAUUAUUUGAUCUCAUGCUCAUGUUUGUCAAGUCCUGGUCUCUACAAGAUUUGCUGCUGGAUUGUCUUAUUUGAGACCUUGUUGGGAGAGCUGGGGUGAUUCUGGGAACACUGCCUUGCCUUGUCAGGAUGAAAUUUUGCGCAAGGUUGUUCAACGAUUUAAAGAAAAAACAAUUGAAAAAAGAUAAGUAUUCCCUUCACUUGCACAUUGAUAAUAUUCUUUGUCUUUACCUCUCUGUUAAGCCUACCAUUGCCACAAAGCCUACAUAAAUGACAGGAGUGCCGGCAUUACAAAUACUAUUGGUCUAGCAAUGGGGAUUGAAGCCCUAAAGUACAUCAGUUACCCUGCACAGGCAUGGUUCUGGCAAAAUCCUCAAAAAUGAUUCCUGGCAAAGGGAAAUGCUGGUGGAAUUAGUGCAACACUUGUAAGCUCAUCUGAGGAUGUAGAGAGACUAGAGAGAAUAGCCAAUGUUAGUUCUGGUCCUCCCGGAAAAUCAUGGGUGGACCCUUCUAUCAAGAAGCUUGAGGGAAGCAUAUGUUAGGGAAUGAAUUAACAAGCAUUGCGGAAGCGGGUACGGUGAUCGCGAAUUGAGAAUUAUAGGGAAGUUAAAAUAAUAUGGGAAAAAUAUAAAAUGACAAAUAAUGGAUAUAUUAAUUUUGGGGAGAUUGGAAAUAUAAUUCUCUAAAAUUAUUGUAAAGGAAAUAUUACAAUAAAGAGAUUGCUAAGCUUAAAAUAGAAAUGAAAGAAAGCUAGCAAUGAAAAAUAAUCCUACGUGAGAGCUAGAGAAUUGAGAAAGAAUGAAUUGAUAUGUUGAGGGAUGCUUUGGUUCCUGCAGAAGCUAGCUAUUUAUAGUUGUUGAAAGGGAACAUUUGAUAGUGGAGGAAUGAGUUGGCCACAUGAAGAUGAGAUGUCCAGAUGCAUGGUCCAUGUGAUGAUGAGUUGGAGAUGAAACCCAUGUGAUGAGGAGUGGGCUGCCAUGUGAAAGCAGAAUUAUUUGAUCCACUUAACCUCAUAUUUCCAAUGGGAUUUACCAAGGGAGCAACAGAUAGAAAUACAAAAGCUGGAACUAAAAUUAUUAGUUUUGCAAGUAGGCAAGUUCAGCCUACAGAUAGAAUUAUUUUCAAUUGACAAGAUUUUAUAGCUUUGCUUACAUAAUCUCUCGAUCUAGUCUUUCCUGCUGUUGUAAUUUAAGUUCUUGAUUAUGGAUUCUCUUUGAAAUACAAGUGAAAGAGCUUUUUUGAACC